CCUACGGGGGGCAGCAGUAAGGAAUAUUGGUCAAUGCCCGGAAGGGUGAACCAGCCAUGCCGCGUGCAGGAUGACGGCCCUAUGGGUUGUAAACUGCUUUUGGAUAGGAAGAAUGGAUUGUAUUGAUAUGAUUUUGACGGUACUAUCAGAAUAAGCACCGGCUAACUCCGUGCCAGCAGCCGCGGUAAUACGGAGGGUGCGAGCGUUAUCCGGAAUUACUGGGGUAGGAGGGUGUGUAGGCGGCUGGUUAAAGCAUGGAGCUUAACUGCAUAAUUGACUUCGAUACUGUAAAGCUGGAAUUAAGUUGAGGUUGGCGGAAUGUGACAUGUAGCGGUGAAAUGCAUAGAUAUGUCAUAGAACACCGAUUGCGUAGGCAGCUGACUGAGCUUAAAUUGACGCUGAGGCACGAAAGCGUGGGGAGCGAACAGGAUUAGAUACCCCAGUAGUC
This 448-nucleotide ribosomal RNA is filed under the name uncultured bacterium. RNAcentral describes it as "partial 16S ribosomal RNA". It matches the Rfam family "Bacterial small subunit ribosomal RNA", at positions 338 to 795 of the family's 1533-position model. The record is from RNAcentral.